AAAGAGGACUUUUUAAAGUCCACUUGCACUGGAAAUAAAAUCUUU
Ictidomys tridecemlineatus (thirteen-lined ground squirrel) is the source of this 45-nucleotide non-coding RNA. The record is from Rfam. Lineage: Eukaryota; Metazoa; Chordata; Mammalia; Rodentia; Sciuridae.